GCUGGGUGUGGUGGCUCACACCUGUAAUCCCAGCAAUUUGGGAAGCUGAGGUGGGUGGAUCACCUGAGGUCAGGAGUUCAAGACCAGCCUGGCCAACAUGGUGAAACCCUGUCUCUA
RNAcentral lists this non-coding RNA (117 nucleotides) under Nomascus leucogenys (northern white-cheeked gibbon). The record is from Rfam by way of RNAcentral. Lineage: Eukaryota; Metazoa; Chordata; Mammalia; Primates; Hylobatidae.